AGAGUUUGAUCCUGGCUCAGGAUGAACGCUAGCUACAGGCUUAACACAUGCAAGUCGAGGGGCAGCAUGAAUAUUGGCUUGCCAAUAUUUGAUGGCGACCGGCGCACGGGUGAGUAACACGUAUCCAACCUUCCGGUUACUCGGGGAUAGGCUUUCGAAAGAAAGAUUAAUACCCGAUGUUGUGUAUCUUUCUCCUGAUUGAUACGCCAAAGGAUUCCGGUAACCGAUGGGGAUGCGUUCCAUUAGGCAGUUGGCGGGGUAACGGCCCACCAAACCUUCGAUGGAUAGGGGUUCUGAGAGGAAGGUCCCCCACAUUGGAACUGAGACACGGUCCAAACUCCUACGGGAGGCAGCAGUGAGGAAUAUUGGUCAAUGGACGGAAGUCUGAACCAGCCAAGUAGCGUGAAGGAUGACUGCCCUCUGGGUUGUAAACUUCUUUUAUACGGGAAUAACAUGAGGUACGGGUACCUUAUUGCAUGUACCGUUAUGAAUAAGCAUCGGCUAACUCCGUGCCAGCAGCCGCGGUAAUACGGAGGAUGCGAGCGUUAUCCGGAUUUAUUGGGUUUAAAGGGAGCGUAGGUGGGAUAUUAAGUCAGCUGUGAAAGUUUGGGGCUCAACCUUAAAAUUGCAGUUGAUACUGGUUUUCUUGAGUACGGUAUAGGUGGGCGGAAUUCGUGGUGUAGCGGUGAAAUGCUUAGAUAUCACGAAGAACUCCUAUUGCGAAGGCAGCUCACUGGACCGGCACUGACACUGAUGCUCGAAAGUGCGGGUAUCAAACAGGAUUAGAUACCCUGGUAGUCCGCACAGUAAACGAUGAAUACUCGCUGUUUGCGAUACACAGUAAGCGGCCAAGCGAAAGCGUUAAGUAUUCCACCUGGGGAGUACGCCGGCAACGGUGAAACUCAAAGGAAUUGACGGGGGCCCGCACAAGCGGAGGAACAUGUGGUUUAAUUCGAUGAUACGCGAGGAACCUUACCCGGGCUUAAAUUGCGCUGGCUUUUACCGGAAACGGUAUUUUCUUCGGACCAGCGUGAAGGUGCUGCAUGGUUGUCGUCAGCUCGUGCCGUGAGGUGUCGGCUUAAGUGCCAUAACGAGCGCAACCCUUAUCUUUAGUUGCCAUCAGGUUUUGCUGGGGACUCUAAAGAGACUGCCGUCGUAAGAUGCGAGGAAGGUGGGGAUGACGUCAAAUCAGCACGGCCCUUACGUCCGGGGCUACACACGUGUUACAAUGGGGAGCACAGCAGGUUGCUACACGGCGACGUGAUGCCAAUCCGUAAAACUCCUCUCAGUUCGGAUCGAAGUCUGCAACCCGACUUCGUGAAGCUGGAUUCGCUAGUAAUCGCGCAUCAGCCACGGCGCGGUGAAUACGUUCCCGGGCCUUGUACACACCGCCCGUCAAGCCAUGAAAGCCGGGGGUACCUGAAGUACGUAACCGCAAGGA
RNAcentral lists this ribosomal RNA (1441 nucleotides) under Bacteroides pyogenes. RNAcentral describes it as "16S ribosomal RNA". It matches the Rfam family "Bacterial small subunit ribosomal RNA". The record is from RNAcentral. Lineage: Bacteria; Pseudomonadati; Bacteroidota; Bacteroidia; Bacteroidales; Bacteroidaceae.